Molecule: ribosomal RNA, 450 nt
Filed under: uncultured bacterium
Lineage: Bacteria
Description: partial 16S ribosomal RNA
Rfam family: Bacterial small subunit ribosomal RNA
Source: RNAcentral
GUGGGGAAUUUUGGACAAUGGGCGCAAGCCUGAUCCAGCCAUGCCGCGUGUGUGAAGAAGGUCUUCGGAUUGUAAAGCACUUUAAGUUGGGAGGAAGGGCAGUAAGUUAAUACCUUGCUGUUUUGACGUUACCGACAGAAUAAGCACCGGCUAACUUCGUGUCAGCAGCCGCGGUAAUACGAAGGGUGCAAGCGUUAAUCGGAAUUACUGGGCGUAAAGCGCGCGUAGGUGGUUUUGUAAGUUGGAGGUGAAAUCCCCGGGCUCAACCUGGGAACUGCCUCCAAAACUGCAUGACUAGAGUACGGUAGAGGGUAGUGGAAUUUCCUGUGUAGCGGUGAAAUGCGUAGAUAUAGGAAGGAACACCAGUGGCGAAGGCGACUACCUGGACUGAUACUGACACUGAGGUGCGAAAGCGUGGGGAGCAAACAGGAUUAGAAACCCCAGUAGUCC